RNAcentral lists this ribosomal RNA (459 nucleotides) under uncultured bacterium. RNAcentral describes it as "bacterial SSU rRNA". It matches the Rfam family "Bacterial small subunit ribosomal RNA", at positions 29 to 507 of the family's 1533-position model. The record is from RNAcentral.
AUUGAACGCUGGCGGCAUGCUUUACACAUGCAAGUCGAGCGGCAGCGCGGGGGCAACUCUGGCGGCGAGCGGCGAACGGGUGAGGAAUGCAUCGGAACGUGCCCGGGAGUGGGGGAUAACGCCGCGAAAGCGGCGCUAAUACCGCAUAUUCUCUGUGGAGGAAAGUGGGGGACCGCAAGGCCUCACGCUUUCGGAGCGGCCGAUGUCGGAUUAGCUUGUUGGUGGGGUAAAGGCUUACCAAGGCGACGAUCCGUAGCUGGUUUGAGAGGAUGAUCAGCAACACUGGGACUGAGACACGGCCCAGACUCCUACGGGAGGCAGCAGUGGGGAAUCUUAGACAAUGGGCGCAAGCCUGAUCUAGCCAUGCCGCGUGGACGACGAAGGCCUUAGGGUUGUAAAGUCCUUUCAGAUGGGAAGAUAAUGACGGUACCAUCAGAAGAAGCCCCGGCUAACUCCGUG